CAAGCAUAGUAAAUGCUCGCUUUUACAAAAAGAGGAAAGUCCGAGCUGCAAAAGACAAACAUUGUAUCUAACAGAUACCAGCAGUAAUGCUAGGGAAAGUGCAACAGAAAGCAAACUACCAUGAAUUUGGUAAAGGUGAAACGGUGGGGUAAGAGCCCACCAGCGAAUUUGGUGACAUUUUCGGCUUUGUAAACCCAAUGUGCAGCAAGAAGGGAUGGUUAGAGUCUUUGAGAAAACCCUUCGCUUGAUUUUGUUUGUGAAAACAAAACCAGAUAAAUGAGCAUUCACGACAGAACUCGGCUUAUCGCUAUGCUUUGAUU
Molecule: RNase P RNA, 320 nt
Filed under: Campylobacter sp. MIT 12-8780
Lineage: Bacteria; Pseudomonadati; Campylobacterota; Epsilonproteobacteria; Campylobacterales; Campylobacteraceae
Also listed under: 1 other name
Description: RNase P RNA component class A
Rfam family: Bacterial RNase P class A
About the family: Ribonuclease P (RNase P) is a ubiquitous endoribonuclease, found in archaea, bacteria and eukarya as well as chloroplasts and mitochondria. Its best characterised activity is the generation of mature 5'-ends of tRNAs by cleaving the 5'-leader elements of precursor-tRNAs.
Source: RNAcentral